AUACAUGCAAGUCGAGCGAACGGACGAGAAGCUUGCUUCUCUGAUGUUAGCGGCGGACGGGUGAGUAACACGUGGAUAACCUACCUAUAAGACUGGGAUAACUUCGGGAAACCGGAGCUAAUACCGGAUAAUAUUUUGAACCGCAUGGUUCAAAAGUGAAAGACGGUCUUGCUGUCACUUAUAGAUGGAUCCGCGCUGCAUUAGCUAGUUGGUAAGGUAACGGCUUACCAAGGCAACGAUGCAUAGCCGACCUGAGAGGGUGAUCGGCCACACUGGAACUGAGACACGGUCCAGACUCCUACGGGAGGCAGCAGUAGGGAAUCUUCCGCAAUGGGCGAAAGCCUGACGGAGCAACGCCGCGUGAGUGAUGAAGGUCUUCGGAUCGUAAAACUCUGUUAUUAGGGAAGAACAUAUGUGUAAGUAACUGUGCACAUCUUGACGGUACCUAAUCAGAAAGCCACGGCUAACUACGUGCCAGCAGCCGCGGUAAUACGUAGGUGGCAAGCGUUAUCCGGAAUUAUUGGGCGUAAAGCGCGCGUAGGCGGUUUUUUAAGUCUGAUGUGAAAGCCCACGGCUCAACCGUGGAGGGUCAUUGGAAACUGGAAAACUUGAGUGCAGAAGAGGAAAGUGGAAUUCCAUGUGUAGCGGUGAAAUGCGCAGAGAUAUGGAGGAACACCAGUGGUGAAGGCGACUUUCUGGUCUGUAACUGACGCUGAUGUGCGAAAGUA
Molecule: ribosomal RNA, 728 nt
Filed under: uncultured Staphylococcus sp.
Lineage: Bacteria; Bacillati; Bacillota; Bacilli; Caryophanales; Staphylococcaceae
Description: bacterial SSU rRNA
Rfam family: Bacterial small subunit ribosomal RNA
Source: RNAcentral